CCCUGAAUUAAAAAGAAAGAUUGGAUCAAGCCAGACCCCAAAGAUAAGAAUGUUGUUCAUUGUGUAGUCUGUGAAUCCAAUUGUAAGCUAAAGAAUCCUAACAAAGCUGGUUUGUUAAGCCACAAAAUUACCUCAAAGCAUAUAAAAAACUAUGAAUCAAAGAAAAAGUGUGUGAAUAUUCAGUAUUUCUUAAAGAAAUCAGUGGAAGACCUGAAAGAUAAAGUUAACAAUGCAGAAUUAUUGUUGUGGAUAUAUGGCAGAACAUGGAAUAGCAUUUUCCUAGGCAGACCAUUUGGUUGAGUUAAUGAAAAAGAUGUUUCCUGACUGUGAAACUGCCAAGAAAAUGACUAUGAAAAAAACAAAAGCCUCAUAUGUCAUGCAGUAUGGAUUAGCGUAGGAAGAACGGGAAGAUGUUACGGAGAUCUAGUUGUUUUUCGGUCAGUCUAGUCUUUUUCGGAGGGACAAUCUUGUGUUUUCUGAAAUUCUAGAGUGGCAACACUGGUGAGAAACCUCGGCCAUUGUUAGCUGUAUGUGUUGAGAUUGACAGUUUUUGAAGCUUUGUGGAGCAGAGGUGCACCAUGGCUUGCCACAAGGUGACAACUGGUCCCUGGAGAGCCGCUGGUGGUGACGGGCUGCCUGUGCCCUCUCUGCGGCAAAACUCCACAAAUACUCCACUCACCAAGUUCCAGAGGGAGAGAUUGUGUUAAGAAUAUGGAGAAAGACAGACCAAGGCAA
This 735-nucleotide long non-coding RNA is filed under the name Portunus trituberculatus (swimming crab). Its description in RNAcentral is "uncharacterized LOC123504145, transcript variant X2". Lineage: Eukaryota; Metazoa; Arthropoda; Malacostraca; Decapoda; Portunidae. The record is from RNAcentral.